ACCCGCUGAACUUAAGCAUAUCAAUAAGCGGAGGAAAAGAAACCAACAGGGAUUGCCUUAGUAACGGCGAGUGAAGCGGCAACAGCUCAAAUUUGAAAUCUGGCCUCUUUGGGGUCCGAGUUGUAAUUUGCAGAGGGCGCUUUGGCGUUGGCAGCGGUCCAAGUUCCUUGGAACAGGACGUCACAGAGGGUGAGAAUCCCGUACGUGGUCGCUAGCCUUCGCCGUGUAAAGCCCCUUCGACGAGUCGAGUUGUUUGGGAAUGCAGCUCUAAAUGGGAGGUAAAUUUCUUCUAAAGCUAAAUACUGGCCAGAGACCGAUAGCGCACAAGUAGAGUGAUCGAAAGAUGAAAAGCACUUUGGAAAGAGAGUCAAACAGCACGUGAAAUUGUUGAAAGGGAAGCGCUUGCAGCCAGACUUGCCUGUAGUUGCUCAUCCGGGCUUUUGCCCGGUGCACUCUUCUGCGGGCAGGCCAGCAUCAGUUUGGGCGGUUGGAUAAAGGUCUCUGUCAUGUACCUCUCUUCGGGGAGGCCUUAUAGGGGAGACGUCAUGCAACCAGCCUGGACUGAGGUCCGCGCAUUUGCUAGGAUGCUGGCGUAAUGGCUGU
RNAcentral lists this ribosomal RNA (603 nucleotides) under uncultured fungus. RNAcentral describes it as "eukaryotic LSU rRNA". It matches the Rfam family "Eukaryotic large subunit ribosomal RNA", at positions 23 to 641 of the family's 3401-position model. The record is from RNAcentral. Lineage: Eukaryota; Fungi.